This 253-nucleotide ribosomal RNA is filed under the name uncultured bacterium. RNAcentral describes it as "partial 16S ribosomal RNA". It matches the Rfam family "Bacterial small subunit ribosomal RNA", at positions 524 to 776 of the family's 1533-position model. The record is from RNAcentral.
UACGAAGGGGGCUAGCGUUGCUCGGAAUCACCGGGCGUAAAGGGUGCGUAGGCGGGUCUUUAAGUCAGAGGUGAAAUCCUGGAGCUCAACUCCAGAACUGCCUUUGAUACUGAGGAUCUUGAGUUCGGGAGAGGUGAGUGGAACUGCGAGUGUAGAGGUGAAAUUCGUAGAUAUUCGCAAGAACACCAGUGGCGAAGGCGGCUCACUGGCCCGAUACUGACGCUGAGGCACGAAAGCGUGGGGAGCAAACAGG